CUGAGCUGAUGACGAGUCGUCAUUUAGAUGACGAAGUGGUUGAUGCCAUGCUUCCAAGAAAAGCUUCUAAGCUUCAGGUAACCAGGAACCGUACCCCAAACCGACACAGGUGGUCGGGUAGAGAAUACCAAGGCGCUUGAGAGAACUCGGGUGAAGGAACUAGGCAAAAUGGCACCGUAACUUCGGGAGAAGGUGCGCCGGCUAGGGUGAAGGAUUUACUCCGUAAGCUCUGGCUGGUCGAAGAUACCAGGCCGCUGCGACUGUUUAUUAAAAACACAGCACUCUGCAAACACGAAAGUGGACGUAUAGGGUGUGACGCCUGCCCGGUGCCGGAAGGUUAAUUGAUGGGGUUAGCGCAAGCGAAGCUCUUGAUCGAAGCCCCGGUAAACGGCGGCCGUAACAAUAACGGUCCUAAGGUAGCGAAAUUCCUUGUCGGGUAAGUUCCGACCUGCACGAAUGGCGUAACGAUGGCGGCGCUGUCUCCACCCGAGACUCAGUGAAAUUGAAAUCGCUGUGAAGAUGCAGUGUAUCCGCGGCUAGACGGAAAGACCCCGUGAACCUUUACUGUAGCUUUGCACUGGACUUUGAGCCUGCUUGUGUAGGAUAGGUGGGAGGCUUUGAAGCGUGGACGCCAGUUCGCGUGGAGCCAUCCUUGAAAUACCACCCUGGCAUGCUUGAGGUUCUAACUCUGGUCCGUAAUCCGGAUCGAGGACAGUGUAUGGUGGGCAGUUUGACUGGGGCGGUCUCCUCCUAAAGAGUAACGGAGGAGUACGAAGGUGCGCUCAGACCGGUCGGAAAUCGGUCGCAGAGUAUAAAGGCAAAAGCGCGCUUGACUGCGAGACAGACACGUCGAGCAGGUACGAAAGUAGGUCUUAGUGAUCCGGUGGUUCUGUAUGGAAGGGCCAUCGCUCAACGGAUAAAAGGUACUCCGGGGAUAACAGGCUGAUACCGCCCAAGAGUUCAUAUCGACGGCGGUGUUUGGCACCUCGAUGUCGGCUCAUCACAUCCUGGGGCUGAAGCCGGUCCCAAGGGUAUGGCUGUUCGCCAUUUAAAGUGGUACGCGAGCUGGGUUUAGAACGUCGUGAGACAGUUCGGUCCCUAUCUGCCGUGGACGUUUGAGAUUUGAGAGGGGCUGCUCCUAGUACGAGAGGACCGGAGUGGACGAACCUCUGGUGUUCCGGUUGUCACGCCAGUGGCAUUGCCGGGUAGCUAUGUUCGGAAAAGAUAACCGCUGAAAGCAUCUAAGCGGGAAACUUGCCUCAAGAUGAGAUCUCACUGGGAACUUGAUUCCCCUGAAGGGCCGUCGAAGACUACGACGUUGAUAGGCUGGGUGUGUAAGCGUUGUGAGGCGUUGAGCUAACCAGUACUAAUUGCCCGUGAGGCUUGACCA
Molecule: ribosomal RNA, 1390 nt
Filed under: metagenome
Description: bacterial LSU rRNA
Rfam family: Bacterial large subunit ribosomal RNA
Source: RNAcentral